Molecule: ribosomal RNA, 495 nt
Filed under: uncultured bacterium
Lineage: Bacteria
Description: partial 16S ribosomal RNA
Rfam family: Bacterial small subunit ribosomal RNA
Source: RNAcentral
GACGAACGCUGGCGGCGUGCCUAAUACAUGCAAGUAGAACGCUGAAGGAGGAGCUUGCUUCUCUGGAUGAGUUGCGAACGGGUGAGUAACGCGUAGGUAACCUGCCUGGUAGCGGGGGAUAACUAUUGGAAACGAUAGCUAAUACCGCAUAAGAGUAGAUGUUGCAUGACAUUUGCUUAAAAGGUGCAAUUGCAUCACUACCAGAUGGACCUGCGUUGUAUUAGCUAGUUGGUGGGGUAACGGCUUACCAAGGCGACGAUACAUAGCCGACCUGAGAGGGUGAUCGGCCACACUGGGACUGAGACACGGCCCAGACUCCUACGGGAGGCAGCAGUAGGGAAUCUUCGGCAAUGGACGGAAGUCUGACCGAGCAACGCCGCGUGAGGGAAGAAGGGUGUCGGAUCGUAAAGCUCUGUUGUAAGAGAAGAACGAGUGUGAGAGUGGAAAGUUCACACUGUGACGGUAUCUUAACAGAAAGGGACGGCUAACUACGUG